RNAcentral lists this ribosomal RNA (493 nucleotides) under uncultured Desulfobulbus sp. RNAcentral describes it as "bacterial SSU rRNA". It matches the Rfam family "Bacterial small subunit ribosomal RNA", at positions 894 to 1382 of the family's 1533-position model. The record is from RNAcentral. Lineage: Bacteria; Pseudomonadati; Thermodesulfobacteriota; Desulfobulbia; Desulfobulbales; Desulfobulbaceae.
CAGAAACUUACAGGAAGUUGACGGGGCCCGCACAAGCGGUGGAGUAUGUGGUUAAUUCGAUGCAACGCGAAGAACCUUACCUGGUCUUGACAUCCCGGAGACCCUUAGGAAACUAGGGGGUGCUUCCAUCUGGAAGAAUCUGGAGACAGGUGCUGCAUGGCUGUCGUCAGCUCGUGUCGUGAGAUGUUGGGUUAAGUCCCGCAACGAGCGCAACCCUUGCCUUUAGUUGCCAGCAGUUCGGCUGGGCACUCUAAAGGGACUGCCGGUGUUAAACCGGAGGAAGGUGGGGAUGACGUCAAGUCCUCAUGGCCUUUAUGACCAGGGCUACACACGUACUACAAUGGCCGAUACAAAGGGCAGCGACACUGCGAGGUGAAGCCAAUCCCGUAAAAUCGGUCUCAGUCCGGAUUGGAGUCUGCAACUCGACUCCAUGAAGUUGGGAUCGCUAGUAAUCGUGGAUCAGCAUGCCACGGUGAAUACGUUCCCGGGCCUU